This 301-nucleotide ribosomal RNA is filed under the name uncultured bacterium. Its description in RNAcentral is "partial 16S ribosomal RNA". It matches the Rfam family "Bacterial small subunit ribosomal RNA", at positions 509 to 807 of the family's 1533-position model. The record is from RNAcentral.
CAGUAGCCGCGGUAAUACGUAGGGUGCAAGCGUUAAUCGGAAUUACUGGGCGUAAAGCGUGCGCAGGCGGUUUUGUAAGACAGAGGUGAAAUCCCCGGGCUCAACCUGGGAACUGCCUUUGUGACUGCAAGGCUGGAGUGCGGCAGAGGGGGAUGGAAUUCCGCGUGUAGCAGUGAAAUGCGUAGAUAUGCGGAGGAACACCGAUGGCGAAGGCAAUCCCCUGGGCCUGCACUGACGCUCAUGCACGAAAGCGUGGGGAGCAAACAGGACUAGAUACCCGAGUAGUCCCUGUCUCUUAUAC